Molecule: ribosomal RNA, 238 nt
Filed under: uncultured bacterium
Lineage: Bacteria
Description: partial 16S ribosomal RNA
Rfam family: Bacterial small subunit ribosomal RNA
Source: RNAcentral
CGGCGGACGGGUGAGUAACGCGUGGGUAACCUACCCUGUACACACGGAUAACAUACCGAAAGGUAUGCUAAUACGGGAUAAUAUAUUUGAGAGGCAUCUCUUGAAUAUCAAAGGUGAGCCAGUACAGGAUGGACCCGCGUCUGAUUAGCUAGUUGGUAAGGUAACGGCUUACCAAGGCGACGAUCAGUAGCCGACCUAAGAGGGUGAUCGGCCACAUUGGAACUGAGACACGGUCCAA